RNAcentral lists this transfer RNA (69 nucleotides) under Eudyptula minor (Little blue penguin). RNAcentral describes it as "tRNA-Trp". It matches the Rfam family "tRNA". From Rfam's summary of the family: Transfer RNA (tRNA) molecules are approximately 80 nucleotides in length. Their secondary structure includes four short double-helical elements and three loops (D, anti-codon, and T loops). Lineage: Eukaryota; Metazoa; Chordata; Aves; Sphenisciformes; Spheniscidae. The record is from RNAcentral.
AGAAACUUAGGAUAGCUAAACCGAAGGCCUUCAAAGCCUUAGACAAGAGUUAAACCCUCUUAGUUUCUG